AGGUAGCAUAAUCAUUUGUUUUUUUAUUGAAAACUAGAAUGAAAGAGUCGACGAAAAAUAGCCUUUUGAUUUAUAAAAUUAAAUUAACAUAAAGGUUAAAAGGCCUUAAAAACUCAGAAAGACGACAAGACCCUAUAAAACUUUACUAUUAUAAAAACAAAAAAAAUAGUUAAACUGGGGCGGUUAAUACAAAAACUGUGUAAUAAAAAAUAUAGAACAUAAAAUUUAAGAACUUAGCAUUUAAAAAAUUUUGAACAAGUUACUUUAGGGAUAACAGCAUAAUUUUCUCAGAGAGCCCUAAUCGAAGAGAAAGCUUAUGACCUCGAUGUUGAAUUGAAAACCCUCGUAUAAGCAGAAGUAUACAGAGGUAGUCUGUUCGACUAUUAAAUUUUC
RNAcentral lists this ribosomal RNA (393 nucleotides) under Bragasellus comasi. Its description in RNAcentral is "partial 16S ribosomal RNA". It matches the Rfam family "Bacterial large subunit ribosomal RNA", at positions 1954 to 2597 of the family's 2925-position model. The record is from RNAcentral. Lineage: Eukaryota; Metazoa; Arthropoda; Malacostraca; Isopoda; Asellidae.